This 906-nucleotide ribosomal RNA is filed under the name Leuconostoc lactis. RNAcentral describes it as "bacterial SSU rRNA". It matches the Rfam family "Bacterial small subunit ribosomal RNA", at positions 52 to 934 of the family's 1533-position model. Lineage: Bacteria; Bacillati; Bacillota; Bacilli; Lactobacillales; Lactobacillaceae. The record is from RNAcentral.
AACUGCAAGUCGAACGCGCAGCGUAAAGGUGCUUGCGCCUUUCAAGCGAGUUGGCGAACGGGUGAGUAACACGUGGUAUAACCUGCCUCAUGGCUGGGGAUAACAUUUGGUAAACAGAUGCUAAUACCGAAUAAAACUUAGUAUCGCAUGAUACAAAGUUGAAAGGCGCUACGGCGUCACCUAGAGAUGGGUCCGCGGUGCAUUAGUUAGUUGGUGGGGUAAAGGCCUACCAAGACAAUGAUGCAUAGCCGAGUUGAGAGACUGAUCGGCCACAUUGGGACUGAGACACGGCCCAAACUCCUACGGGAGGCUGCAGUAGGGAAUCUUCCACAAUGGGCGAAAGCCUGAUGGAGCAACGCCGCGUGUGUGAUGAAGGCUUUAGGGUCGUAAAGCACUGUUGUAUGGGAAGAAAUGCUAGUAAUAGGGAAUGAUUCUAGUUCGACGGUACCAUACCAGAAAGGGACGGCUAAAUACGUGCCAGCAGCCGCGGUAAUACGUAUGUCCCGAGCGUUAUCCGGAUUUAUUGGGCGUAAAGCGAGCGCAGACGGUUGAUUAAGUCUGAUGUGAAAGCCCGGAGCUCAACUCCGGAAUGGCAUUGGAAACUGGUUAACUUGAGUGUUGUAGAGGUAAGUGGAACUCCAUGUGUAGCGGUGGAAUGCGUAGAUAUAUGGAAGAACACCAGUGGCGAAGGCGGCUUACUGGACAACAACUGACGUUGAGGCUCGAAAGUGUGGGUAGCAAACAGGAUUAGAUACCCUGGUAGUCCACACCGUAAACGAUGAAUACUAGGUGUUAGGAGGUUUCCGCCUCUUAGUGCCGAAGCUAACGCAUUAAGUAUUCCGCCUGGGGAGUACAACCGCAAGGUUGAACCUCAAAGGAAAUUGACGGGGACCCGCACAACCGGUG